Molecule: ribosomal RNA, 492 nt
Filed under: uncultured bacterium
Lineage: Bacteria
Description: partial 16S ribosomal RNA
Rfam family: Bacterial small subunit ribosomal RNA
Source: RNAcentral
AGUGAACGCUGGCGGUGGGCCUAACACAUGCAAGUCGAGCGGCAACACCCUACGAGCUUGCUCUUCCCGGUGGCGAGUCGCGGACGUGUCAGGAAUACAACGGGCUCUUCUUUUUCGUGGGGGAUCACGUAGCUGAGCUUACGCUAAUACCGCAUCCGCCCUACGGGUGAAAGCAGUGGAUCUUCUGACCUUUCGCGAUUGAAUGAGCCGCUGUCGGAGUAGCUAGUUGGCGGGGUAAUGGCCCACCAAGGCGACGAUCCGUAGCUGGUCUGAGAGGAGGAUCAGCCACACGGGAACUGAGACACGGUCCAGACGCCUGCGGGAGGCAGCAGUGGGGAAUGUGGGACAGUGGUCGCAAGCCUGAUCCAGCGGUACCGCGUGUGUGAAGAAGGCCUUGGGGUUGUAAAGCCCUUUUGUUGGGAAAGAAAAGCAGCAGGUUAAGACCCCGCGGUUCUGACGGUACCCAAAGAAGAAGCACCGGCUAACUUCGUG